This 253-nucleotide ribosomal RNA is filed under the name uncultured bacterium. Its description in RNAcentral is "partial 16S ribosomal RNA". It matches the Rfam family "Bacterial small subunit ribosomal RNA", at positions 524 to 776 of the family's 1533-position model. The record is from RNAcentral.
UACAGAGGUCCCAAGCGUUGUUCGGAUUCACUGGGCGUAAAGGGUGCGCAGGUGGGUUUGCAAGUUCGAUGUGAAAGCCCCGGGCUUAACCCGGGAAUGGCAUUGGAUACUGCAGAUCUGGAGGAUUGGAGGGGGGACUGGAAUUCUUGGUGUAGCAGUGAAAUGCGUAGAUAUCGGGAGGAACACCAGUGGCGAAGGCGGCCUUCUGGACGAUGACUGACGCUGAGACACGAAAGCGUGGGGAGCAAACAGG